CCUACGGGAGGCAGCAGUGGGGAAUAUUGCACAAUGGGGGAAACCCUGAUGCAGCGACGCCGCGUGAGUGAAGAAGUAUUUCGGUACGUAAAGCUCUAUCAGCAGGGAAGAAAAUGACGGUACCUGACUAAGAAGCCCCGGCUAACUACGUGCCAGCAGCCGCGGUAAUACGUAGGGGGCAAGCGUUAUCCGGAUUUACUGGGUGUAAAGGGAGCGUAGACGGCAGCGCAAGUCUGGAGUGAAAUCCCAUGGCUUAACCAUGGAACUGCAUUGGAAACUGUGCAGCUAGAGUGCAGGAGAGGUAAGCGGAAUUCGUAGUGUAGCGGUGAAAUGCGUAGAUAUUAGGAAGAACACCAGUGGCGAAGGCGGCUUACUGGACUGUAACUGACGUUGAGGCUCGAAAGCGUGGGGAGCAAACAGGAUUAGAUACCCUAGUAGUC
Molecule: ribosomal RNA, 440 nt
Filed under: uncultured bacterium
Lineage: Bacteria
Description: partial 16S ribosomal RNA
Rfam family: Bacterial small subunit ribosomal RNA
Source: RNAcentral